This 348-nucleotide ribosomal RNA is filed under the name uncultured bacterium. RNAcentral describes it as "bacterial SSU rRNA". It matches the Rfam family "Bacterial small subunit ribosomal RNA", at positions 161 to 507 of the family's 1533-position model. The record is from RNAcentral.
GGCUAAAAUCAGAUGAUGCAGCGGCUCGACAUCGAGACAGUUGUUAAAUCUUCGGAGCCUAAAGAUGAGCCUGCGUCUGAUUAGGUAGUUGGCGGUGUAUUGGACCACCAAGCCUGCGAUCAGUAGCUGGUCUGAGAGGAUGAUCAGCCACACUGGAACUGAGACACGGUCCAGACUCCUACGGGAGGGCAGCAGUAAGGAAUAUUGCUCAAUGGCCGAAAGGCUGAAGCAGCAACGCCGCGUGGAGGAUGAAAUACUUUUGUUAUGUAAACUCCUGUAAGAAGGGAAAAAUGUUCCGAUUCAUCGGAAUUGAUUGUACCUUCAGAGUAAGCCCCGGCUAACUACGUG